Molecule: ribosomal RNA, 275 nt
Filed under: uncultured bacterium
Lineage: Bacteria
Description: partial 16S ribosomal RNA
Rfam family: Archaeal small subunit ribosomal RNA
Source: RNAcentral
AUACCGGCGGCCCGAGUGGCGGCCACUAUUAUUGGGCCUAAAGCGUCCGUAGCCGGUCUGGCAAGUCCCCCGGGAAAUCUGGUCGCUUAACGAUCAGGCUUCCGGGGGAUACUGCCAGACUAGGGACCGGGAGAGGCCGGGGGUAUUCCCGGGGUAGGGGUGAAAUCCUGUAAUCCCGGGAGGACCACCUGUGGCGAAGGCGCCCGGCUGGAACGGGUCCGACGGUGAGGGACGAAGGCCUGCGGAGCGAACCGGAUUAGAAACCCUAGUAGUCC